GAAGAAGAAUGUAAACAGAGAUGGUAGAAGAACCAUCUGAGGGAAUAGCGCCAUCUAUCUGCACCAUGAGUAGUGUACACAUUAAAAAGCUGAACUAUUAUCCAUCUGACUGUUAUUUGAAAUGAACGAGUCCAGUAAUGGGUCAAGAAAGGAGCCGUAUUAGUUAUUAUUAGUUAUUCCAUGUAAACUGGGACAAGGACACUUUCAGAAAGUCAAACUUUGGGCAUAGCUCCAUUAAACUGUGCAAGUAAACACACUGACUCAGUAUGUGUCAGCAGGUUGUUGGUUCCAACCUUGGACAGUCCUCAGGUCCUACAGACGUAACGUCUCUGUCCCCUCAGAAGGCUGCUACUGUCUCUAAUGGACGUCAGUUUUUCCCACUAACCUUGGAUACUCUGUUUGAUCUAUGGAGGGAACACAAACAAGACCAGGUCAGACAACAGUAAGUUGUUGCUUCACAUCUCCCUCUGCUGGUCACAUGGAGACACUGCAGGGAUGGUGUCAGGUCAGACUGUUCUACACAUUAGUUCAUUGAAAACACUCAGUGAGGCCUCAUUGUUCACAGACACUGAAGCAGUAAAGUGACCUUAGAGAAAAGAUCAACAGAAUGUCUGAGUUCAGCUGUAAUCAUGUUCAAACUAUGCUCAUACACACAUUUGAUAGAUCAUUACAUCAUGGACUUUUCAUGUUUAGCUCCUUUUAUUCCUUCAUUAGUUUUAGAGUUUUAUAGGAGACGUAAAGACUCUGUGGUGUUUGGACAGUUUCAUCUCUUGUAUUUUUACGUAGAUUUACUUCAAGUUAUUUAUCUGUGACUGAGUUUGAAGCAAAAAGAGGAAGAAGCCAGUCAGAGGAAGAGGGCGGGCUUUACAUGGUGUCACUGAGAAAAGAUGAAAAAAGGUCAGACGAGUGAGAAGGACAAUGAAGGAAACGUCUCUACAGCGUCUGCUCUCACCACGGUCCUGGUUUUACUGCAACUGAAAUAAACAUUUAGCAGAUGAAGACUUUCAGAACAGCAGCAGUCGACACCUCCUCCUGGUUCCUCUCCUCUCCUCCCUGUGUUCUUGUCUCUUUCUUUCUUUUCUCUGGUUCUCCUGGUGUUUCUGGUUUUCCAGGUGAGACGAUGUGUUUGUAGGAAACAUGAAGCCGUUGGAGGAAACGUCAGAGAAGACAUCACGUACGGUAAAAUUAAAAUAUCACAGAACAAGAAAGACGAUCAGACGGAGAAGAGAGUUUUCUCCAGAGUCAACAGUCGUCUACUCUUUAGUCCACCGGUCCAACCACUGAUGUCCAGCUGCAGGACUGGUCUACUCAGCCCCUCAGGCCACAGUACAUCUCUGAAAAACAUGUUUAUUUGUCAUAAAUAUGUUUCUGUUUAAAGGUUUCUAAUGAUAACAUCCAGUUCCUUUAUGUCUCCAGUAACAUAUUAACUCAAUAACUUGUAUUUUAUUUGUUUUUGCUCUUGUCACUACAGCAAUGGUCUGGCUUUCUCUGCAGGAUCAAUAACGUUCCUACUUCUGUUGGCUAGGCUAGUUAGCUGGUGUCUCCUUGUUGGUGUUGUUCAGUUGGACUGGGUCUCUAAAUAUGUUUUUCUCGUGUUUUGCAGAGGGGAGAAGUGUUGGUUGGCAUGUAGCCGCUUAUCCCAUCACAUCUAACCUACUGCUGUUGGCUAGUUGGUGGCUUCUUGUUGGUUGCUGGGUGGUAGCUGACUGCUAGCCUGCUGGUCAGUUUUUCAGUUCGACUGAGCUUCUAAAUGUGUUUUGACUCAGAUCUUAGCUCAAGGGAUUGUAACAUCUCAUCCUGUGUAAUAAUGAUUAUGAGGUGUUUGUAAUGAAGCACAUCUGCCAAUCACGGAUAUUUUGAAGGACAAUUAAGCACAAUAGUGAUUUCUACUGUUUUCAUAUUUGCACUAAUUCAGCCAGGAGCUACCAUCCAAAAUUUCGUUAUGUUCACACAUAAUGACAAUAAAUGAUUCUU
Long non-coding RNA from Mugil cephalus (flathead mullet), 1974 nucleotides. RefSeq lists it as uncharacterized. NCBI's taxonomy places the organism in Eukaryota, Metazoa, Chordata, Actinopteri, Mugiliformes, Mugilidae. The transcript has 4 exons. The record is from RefSeq and is a predicted model, not a curated record.